RNAcentral lists this ribosomal RNA (478 nucleotides) under uncultured fungus. RNAcentral describes it as "SSU rRNA". It matches the Rfam family "Eukaryotic small subunit ribosomal RNA", at positions 971 to 1472 of the family's 1831-position model. Lineage: Eukaryota; Fungi. The record is from RNAcentral.
CAUUGAUCAAGAACGAAGGAAGGGGGAUCGAAAACGAUUAGAUACCGUUGUAGUCUCUUCUGUAAACUAUGCCAAUUGGGGAUCGGUACAGGAUUUUUAAUGACUGUAUCGGCACCCGAAGAGAAAUCUUUAAAUGAGGUUCGGGGGGGAGUAUGGUCGCAAGGCUGAAACUUAAAGGAAUUGACGGAAGGGCACCACCAGGUGUGGAGCCUGCGGCUUAAUUUGACUCAACACGGGGAAACUCACCAGGUCCAGACACAAUAAGGAUUGACAGAUUGAUAGCUCUUUCUUGAUCUUGUGGUUGGUGGUGCAUGGCCGUUCUUAGUUGGUGGAGUGAUUUGUCUGGUUAAUUCCGAUAACGAACGAGACCUUAACCUGCUAAAUAGACCAGCCGGCUUUGGCUAGCUGCUGUCUUCUUAGAGGGACUAUCAGCGUUUAGCUGAUGGAAGUUUGAGGCAAUAACAGGUCUGUGAUGCCC